UGGGGAAUUUUGGACAAUGGGGGCAACCCUGAUCCAGCAAUGCCGCGUGUGUGAAGAAGGCCUUCGGGUUGUAAAGCACUUUUGUCCGGAAAGAAAACUUCGGGGCUAAUACCCCUGGAGGAUGACGGUACCGGAAGAAUAAGCACCGGCUAACUACGUGCCAGCAGCCGCGGUAAUACGUAGGGUGCGAGCGUUAAUCGGAAUUACUGGGCGUAAAGCGUGCGCAGGCGGUGCUGUAAGACCGAUGUGAAAUCCCCGGGCUUAACCUGGGAACUGCAUUGGUGACUGCAGCGCUGGAGUAUGGCAGAGGGUGGUGGAAUUCCACGUGUAGCAGUGAAAUGCGUAGAGAUGUGGAGGAACACCGAUGGCGAAGGCAGCCCCCUGGGCCAAUACUGACGCUCAUGCACGAAAGCGUGGGGAGCAAACAGG
RNAcentral lists this ribosomal RNA (429 nucleotides) under Bacillota bacterium. Its description in RNAcentral is "Firmicutes bacterium partial 16S ribosomal RNA". It matches the Rfam family "Bacterial small subunit ribosomal RNA", at positions 355 to 776 of the family's 1533-position model. The record is from RNAcentral. Lineage: Bacteria; Bacillati; Bacillota.